CCAUUUGAGGCUAUAGAUGGAUGUGAUCAUAAUGGACCAUUUGAGUUCAAGAUUGAGAAAGUUAUGGACUUGGAUUCUUGUUUUACAUACUUGAAGUCAUGGUCAGCUUAUCAAACUGCAAAAGAAAAGGGUGUUGAGUUGUUAAGUGAAGAUGUUGUUGAAAAAUUUACAAGUGCUUGGAAUGAAGAUGGGAAGAGUGAGAAAAAAGUGAUUUAUCCUAUUUACUUGAGGAUUGGAAAAGUUGGAAAUUUGGAUUGAAAGUGUAAAG
This 268-nucleotide long non-coding RNA is filed under the name Solanum lycopersicum (tomato). RNAcentral's name for it is "long non-coding RNA (SLYC_LNC000017)". Lineage: Eukaryota; Viridiplantae; Streptophyta; Magnoliopsida; Solanales; Solanaceae. The record is from RNAcentral.